RNAcentral lists this long non-coding RNA (2055 nucleotides) under Homo sapiens (human). RNAcentral's name for it is "HSALNT0292740". The record is from RNAcentral. Lineage: Eukaryota; Metazoa; Chordata; Mammalia; Primates; Hominidae.
GCAUGUGAAAGAGAUGGAGCAACUAUAGCAGGAAAUUUUAUUUUGUAUCACCAAAAGGAAGUUUGCUUGUUCGUAUCUACGAUUGACAUCUUCAGUACUUGCUGAAUAAGCACAAAUGAUUCCUUUUCUAUCGCAAUAUAUAUGUUUGCAUCUACCUAAGAGAUUUUAGAUUUGUGAGUGUAUGGAGCCCUCAUUAGUAUGAGAGAUUAAUUUAUUUCAGUGUUUGAGCUGUUACUGAGCUUAAAAUCUUAAAAAACACACACAAUACAACACCAGCUCUGUAAUCUUUUUACCGAGUAGACUAUAAUAAUUCCAGAAGAUUUAACAUAGUUUAUUAGAUGAAUGGCUUGCAACUUUAAGGGACCAUAAACUUAUAUUUAAAAAUUAUCAUAAGUAAAACAGGAUUCUGACAGUAAUGCAUGUAAUCUAAUUCACUAAUGUAUCAGUUGUGAAUACUUUUUAGAUAUCCAGUAAACUAAAAUGAAACAGUGGACAUACAACAAACAUGUGUAACAGAAGAAAACCCAACUUUAGAAGAAAGUAGUAUUUGUGUAAUAUUUAAUGUGGGCGUAAAAAUUAUAUAAUGCCUUGUUUCCCUUUUUGCCUUGGCUCCCAAGAAACUCAGAGAUAAGUUUAAUUCUUAACCUUGGUGAAUAUUUCAGCCUAAGUUUUUGCCCCCACUACUUCUCUAACCCCUGCAGUUUUUGUUCAUGUUUUUCUUCUUUUAUGGACUUAAAUGUGUAUGUGUGCUAAUUUACUAUAUGUUUAUGAACCAUCUCAAAUUAUUUUUGGAAGGUAGAUGAAGUAACCAGAAUAAAAAUAAAGUCCUAUGAAUUAGGAUAUAAAUUGUGUUUAUGUUGCCACUGCUUACCAUUUCUUUGUUAGAUGUUAUGCCUAGAUUAAUGUCAUUAGCUUAUAUGCUGAAAAUGUAAUCACAUAAUGUUUUUAAAAUAGUAAAUGACACAAUUAUUAUAUAUAUGUAAAAUUCAGAUCCAUUCAAAAAAUAUCCAUGUUCUUUUAUAUGCUUAGGACUCAACUUGGUGCUAUUGUAUUUAGCUAUUGUAAAAUAGCUCAGCCUUUAAGAAGUUUGUAUAUAAGCCAUCUGCCAUGUACUUGGCUUUUGGGCACUGGGAAGAGCUAGAUGGGGUAGAAAUGCAUCUUCUCUUAAAAGGAGCUUACAACUCCCAAAGUUACAACUCUAUCACAAAAAGAGUGUCAAGACACAACCCAAGUUCAUCACCUGAAUGCCAUUGAUAAGGAUUUCCAGAUGGACAAAACAUUAAGCUGACACCAAGUGAAACGUGUACUUCACAGACUUUCAUGUUUCAUUUCGUGAUAUGCAGUGGCACUCUGAAGAACUGGGCUUUCAGAAUGUAUGUGUUUGGUCCGGUUCUUCGUAUAGGGAGCAGUAUCUUUGGAACAGUCACAGCAUACACCACACCACACUAGGUUCUAUCUGUGGCAGGGUCAGCUCAUUAAAGCUACUUUCUGGGUCCUCGUUAAUGUCAUGCAGGCCUUGUGACAGGUGUUACAGCUCCCCACCUGGCACGGUCCAUUGGGGGUGUGCUGUAAUUGCUCUUGAUGCCACACUUAAUGGGUGGGGGAAGAAAGUAGCAUUAUGUGUGAGGGGAGAGUUUUAGAGAUGUUUUGUUUCCUACCUACCAAGGGAAAAAAAGGGAAUUGGCAGAUAGAGUUUAUAUCUUGGGAUGAGAUGUGUAAAGGGCCAGGACCUGAAAUUACGUGAAGGUUGAUAUUCUGGGAUUGGUAGUUUUGAAGUUCCAUAAAGAAGUUCAGUCCAGCCAUGUUCCAAAUGCUCUGAGUAUAGGCACUGGCUGGUAAGCUUAGUGGAGUGUUAUACAACAUGGAAGUCUAACUGGCAGUUCAAUGUCCCAAAAGUUGGACAGAACCAAGAAAUAGAGAACAUAAGCAGAUGACAGUAAUCCAGGCAGAAGGUUAGUGUCAGAGAAGUCUGUCAGUGGGUCAUAGGGCUCCACGUGCUAGCCUGGGUUUCCGUGCCAGAAUUUUGUUCUUGGGAGGCAGGUAGGGAAAAGCAAG